This 507-nucleotide ribosomal RNA is filed under the name uncultured bacterium. Its description in RNAcentral is "partial 16S ribosomal RNA". It matches the Rfam family "Bacterial small subunit ribosomal RNA", at positions 899 to 1397 of the family's 1533-position model. The record is from RNAcentral.
ACUCAAAUGAAUAGACGGGGGCUCACACAAGCGGUGGAUGAUGUGGCUCAAUUCGAAGCAACGCGAAGAACCUUACCCGGGUUUGACAUGCUAGGAUUAGUUCUGUGAAAGCAGAAUGACACGGCUUGCCGUGGAACUAGCACAGGUGCUGCAUGGCUGUCGUCAGCUCGUGCUGUGAAGUGUCGGGUUAAGUCCCUUAACGAGCGAAACCCUUGUCGCUAGUUGCCAGCGCGUAAUGGCGGGCACUUUAGCGAGACUGCCGGUGUUAAACCGGAGGAAGGCGGGGACGACGUCAAGUCCUCAUGGCCUUUAUGCCCGGGGUUGCACACGUCAUACAAUGGGAUGGUACAAAGCGACGCAAGACCGCGAGGUGGAGCAAAUCGCAGAAAACAUCCCUCAGUUCGGAUUGCAGGCUGCAACUCGCCUGCAUGAAGCUGGAAUCGCUAGUAAUCGCAUAUCAGCAAUGAUGCGGUGAAUGUGUUCCUGAGCCUUGUACACACCGCCCGU